RNAcentral lists this ribosomal RNA (513 nucleotides) under Escherichia coli. RNAcentral's name for it is "partial 23S ribosomal RNA". It matches the Rfam family "Bacterial large subunit ribosomal RNA", at positions 388 to 903 of the family's 2925-position model. The record is from RNAcentral. Lineage: Bacteria; Pseudomonadati; Pseudomonadota; Gammaproteobacteria; Enterobacterales; Enterobacteriaceae.
UUGUCUCUCUUGAGUGGAUCCUGAGUACGACGGAGCACGUGAAAUUCCGUCGGAAUCUGGGAGGACCAUCUCCUAAGGCUAAAUACUCCCUAGUGACCGAUAGUGAACCAGUACCGUGAGGGAAAGGUGAAAAGCACCCCGGAAGGGGAGUGAAACAGUUCCUGAAACCGUGUGCCUACAAGUAGUUAGAGCCCGUUAAUGGGUGAUAGCGUGCCUUUUGUAGAAUGAACCGGCGAGUUACGAUUUGUUGCAAGGUUAAGCGGAAAAAGCGGAGCCGUAGCGAAAGCGAGUCUGAAUAGGGCGUUUAGUAUUUGGUCGUAGACCCGAAACCAGGUGAUCUACCCAUGUCCAGGGUGAAGUUCAGGUAACACUGAAUGGAGGCCCGAACCCACGCACGUUGAAAAGUGCGGGGAUGAGGUGUGGGUAGCGGAGAAAUUCCAAUCGAACUUGGAGGUAGCUGGUUCUCUCCGAAAUAGCUUUAGGGCUAGCCUCGAGGUAAAGAGUCAUGGAGGU